UGCUGAGGAGCACUUGUGGUUUUCAGCACUGUCCUACAGCCGAACUCGGUGGGGAAUAUGCAAGCAGACUCGCUGACAAGACGACGACGUCAGCGGACACGAGGCGAGGACACGUCCGGGUUGGUCCGCAGGUAAUCGGCUCACGGGCAAAGUGGCGUAGGCGACGCGCGUUCAUGACGAUUUGUCGGGCUCGCGCGGAAAAUUAAUUCCCUCUUCCAUCUCGCCUUCAAUUCCAGUGACAGCAGCGUUUGUGAGCGCUCAAAACGACUUGUGUGUUCCAACGUGUCUCGCAAAACAGUUCAAUGUGGCAGCGAGGAAGAGCCGGGGGAGACACUAUUUGUUCGUUUGUCUGUAAUCAUCGGUGUCUUGCUGCACUCCCCGUGUAAGCGCCGUCUGCGAGCGAGGGAGCUGCUGCCGUAAUGACGAGAGACUUUGUUACAUUUCUCAGUGCGCCAUGGCUGUCUGUCAGUAGAGAUUCUCCUCAUCCCCGCCUGCUUACGCUCUGUCGGAGCCACGCGACACAGAUGAGUAUCCAUCCGAUUACUACCGGCAGGCGGCUCAACGUGACAUUGACACCAGGCGGACCUCCCGUCCCCUCAUUUACGCCUGCUUACCCGCUUUGAUCAGCAAAUCCGCCUGAUGUGACGAUGCGAGACGAUUCGGAGCUGAACGAGGAACUGAGAAGCGGACGGCCCGACAUCCUGGUGUCCCAUUUAAGACUCCACUUCAAACCGACGUGUAAUCCGCAGCGCGCCACAA
Molecule: long non-coding RNA, 759 nt
Organism: Phyllopteryx taeniolatus (common seadragon)
Lineage: Eukaryota; Metazoa; Chordata; Actinopteri; Syngnathiformes; Syngnathidae
Exons: 3
Source: RefSeq, a predicted model, not a curated record